AAGACUAUACUUUCAGGGAUCAUUUCUAUAGUUUGUUACUAAAAACUUGUCAUUGAUAGUCACUAGAAUUAUAAUUUAAAGGAGUCUGA
Small nucleolar RNA from Ailuropoda melanoleuca (giant panda), 89 nucleotides. Its record names the gene U3. It matches the Rfam family "Small nucleolar RNA U3". From Rfam's summary of the family: Small nucleolar RNAs (snoRNAs) are involved in the processing and modification of rRNA in the nucleolus. There are two main classes of snoRNAs: the box C/D class, and the box H/ACA class. U3 snoRNA is a member of the box C/D class. The record is from Ensembl. NCBI's taxonomy places the organism in Eukaryota, Metazoa, Chordata, Mammalia, Carnivora, Ursidae.